AUGACGGAAUAUUGGACGGAGGGGCUGAUUGGUUCAGGAGUAAACGAGAUUAGCCGUGGACAAAGACGUAGAUGCCACACACACACACACACACACACACACACACACACACACACACACACACACACACAAAACCGAAUGCAAGAUCUCCCGGCAGAUAUAAUAAUGGCAGCUUAUAAGGGGGAAACAAACUAUGCCUAUUUUCUAGGUGCAGGGGUUGGACCUGACAGAUAUGGACCUGGUGGAUUUGGGCCUGGGGGUGUUGGGCCAGGAGGUGCUGGCACAGGAACGGGAGGCUUCGGACCUGGAGGGGCUGGGACAGGAACCGGAGGCUUCGGACCAGGAGGGGCUGGCACAGGAACGGGAGGCUUCGGACCAGGAGGGGCUGGGAUAGGAACCGGAGGCUUCGGACCAGGAGGGGCUGGGACAGGAACCGUAGGCUUCGGACCAGGAGGUGCUGGCACAGGAACCGGAGGCUUCGGACCAGGAGGUGCAGGUUUCGGACCAGGAGGUGCUGGCACAGGAACUGGAGGUUUCGUACCAGGAGGUGCUGGCACAGGAACUGGAGGCUUCGGACCAGGAGGUGCAGGUUUCGGACCAGGAGGUGCUGGCACAGGAACUGGAGGUGUCGUACCAGGAGGUGCUGGCACAGGAACGGGAGGCUUCGGACCAGGAGGUGCAGGUUUCGUACCAGGAGGUGCUGGCACAGGAACUGGAGGUUUCGUACCAGGAGGUGCUGGCACAGGAACUGGAGGCUUCGGACCAGGAGGUGCAGGUUUCGGACCAGGAGGUGCUGGCACAGGAACUGGAGGUUUCGUACCAGGAGGUGCUGGCACAGGAACUGGAGGCUUCGGACAAGGGGGCCAAGGAUUUGGAAAAAGAAAACCUUUUAAAUCUGGUAAGUAAUGAUAAUACAAGUAAAACUAAAAAGGGUUAGGGUUAUACUUAUUAGAUUUUAUUGUUUUAUAAGAAAGUAAUUUGCAGAACAGUGUUUGACCAUUUGCAUCUCUUUUUUCCAGGUUAUGGAGGAGCAGGAUAUGGAUCAGGUGAGGUUUGGGUUAGGAUUAGGGAUGGUAUAUAUUUGUUCACAUUUAUGAAGUAUAUAGUUGUGCUUAUAUAUUUAAAUGUUUCCCAGCAGGACGAUUAGGAGGAGGUAUAGGAGGUGGUCCUGGUGGAGUUGGAGCUGGACCUGCAGGCUAUGGCCCAGGAGGACCAACUGGAACAGGGACAGGCCGUUUUGGUUAUGGGCCUGGAGGUGCUGGAACUGGUGGCUUUGGCCCAGGAGGUGCUGGAACUGGUGGCUUUGGCCCAGGAGGUGCUGGAACUGGGCCAGGGGGUUUUAGACCUGGAGUUGUGGCUGGAUACGGACCUGGUGGCCAAGCAUUUGGGAAUAGGAAGCCUCCUAAAUCGGGAUACGGCUUGUCGUUGGGUGGAACUGGCUAUGGACCAGGUAAAACUCUCUAUUGAUGCCUAUAAAUAAACAGUUAAAUUCUGAUAAUUACUGAUACAAGCUCUUAUUUUCACUGGAUAUUUACCAAACAGAACAAACUAUUGAAACAAUUAUGAUUAUUAUUUAUUCCAUAUUAUAUUGUCUGAUAGACUAGUUUACAAUGACAAAAUACAAUAAACUUGAAGUCUUAUCCACAUGACAGAACUGGACUGUAAACCUCUUCGGUUUUCAUCUUUGUUCCAUCUUUAUUCAGUUGUUGUUGUGUUUUCCUAUUUAAUCUGUGCUAAAAUAAUACACUUACUCUGAUAUGUUACCUGCUAGUCAUGUAUAGUCUGAAUAUAAUCUAUAUAAUCUAAUUUACUUUAAUCCCAUCUAUGUUCAUCAGGUGGUGGAGCAGGAGGGCUUCCUGGUGCAGGAACAGGAGGGAUCAUUGGAGGCUCAGGUGAGUUUCUUGUUUGUAAUGGAAAAUGGUGACUAGAAUAUUAGUACAUUUAGGUUUGGCAGAGCACAAACUGAACAAGCACAACUUCAUAUUCUUCAAUGUGCCUGGUGUCUUUGUAAAAGGUGUCAAAGUGUGAUAAUGUCUGUCAAACAUACUAGUAAACUUCUAAGCCAGUAAAGCCUUCUCUCUGCUAACAGUAUACUGUGUGUCAUGGUUAGCUUAUGCUUUCAAGCGUUUGACUGAUUUCACUUGCCUGUCCAGGUAAUGCAGGAGGAACAGGAGGUCCGUUAGGAACAGGUCAGGGAGUAGGAGGAGGUGCGGGCGGCUUACCAGGUCAGUUUAGGUGGAGCACUGAUACAAUACAGAACAAUAUAGUAUGAACAUUUGCAUUUUUAUAUUUUGAGAUUUGAAAACAAAUGCAUUUACAGACCACUGCACAGUAAAGACCU
This 2341-nucleotide long non-coding RNA is filed under the name Cottoperca gobio. RNAcentral describes it as "lncRNA (ENSCGOG00000010763.1)". The record is from RNAcentral. Lineage: Eukaryota; Metazoa; Chordata; Actinopteri; Perciformes; Bovichtidae.